RNAcentral lists this non-coding RNA (781 nucleotides) under Ochthebius sp. IBE<ESP> AN292. Lineage: Eukaryota; Metazoa; Arthropoda; Insecta; Coleoptera; Hydraenidae. The record is from RNAcentral.
AUAAAGUUUUAUUUUAGCUUAAAAUAUUGAUUAAUAAUAUUUUUAUAUACAAAUUUUUUUAUUUAGAAUUAUUUAUUUUAAAAAUAAAUAUUUUAUAAUUAUUUGUAAUUUAUAAAUUUUGUUUUUUAAGGAAUUAAGAAUAAGGUAUUUAUUUUAAUAUUAACUAAAUUUGUGCCAGCAGUUGCGGUUAUACAAAUAAUAUAAUUAAUAUUUAUUAGUAAAUAAUUAAUUAUUAUUAUUAUUUAAUUAAUUCUAAAUUUAUUAAGUGAAAUUUUAAAUUUAGUUUUUUUAAUAAUUAAGAUUAUGAGGUUGUUAAAAUUUAAUUAUAAACUAGGAUUAGAUACCCUAUUAUUUAUAUUUUAAAUUUAUUAUGCUUGAUUAGUAUUAGUUAUUUUCUUGAAAAUUAAAAAAUUUGGCGGUAUUUUAGUCUUUUCAGAGGAACCUGUUCUAUAAUUGAUAAUCCACGAUUAAAUGUACUUAUUUUAAAAGUUUAUAUAUCAUCGUAGAUUGAAUAUCUUUUUAGAGGUUAAUAUUCAAAAUUUAUAAUAAUAAAAAAAAUCAGAUCAAGGUAUAGCUUAUAUAUAAGAAGAAAUGGGUUACAAUAAAUUUAUUUUUGGAUUAAAAAUUGUGAAAUUUUUAUUAAAUUGGAUUUGAAAGUAAUAUAAUUUAUUUAAAUUAUAUGAUUAAAGCUCUAAAAUAUGCACAUAUCGCCCGUCGCUUUCAUAUAAAAUGAGAUAAGUCGUAACAAAGUAGGUGUACUGGAAAGUGUAUCUAGAAAGAA